CGAACGCUGGCGGCGUGCCUCAUACAUGCAAGUCGAGCGAGAAAGCCACCUUCGGGUGGUUAGUAGAGCGGCGAACGGGUGAGUAACACGUGGGUUACCUGCCCUCGAGUUGGGGAUAACCACUGGAAACGGUGGCUAAUACCCGAGAUAUUCAGGUUUCUUUAGAUUCCUGAAUUGAAGGUGCUAUCCUUCGGGAUGGUAUCGCUUGAGGAUGGGCCCGCGUCCCAUUAGCUUGUUGGUAGGGUAAUGGCCUACCAAGGCCGCGAUGGGUAGCUGGUCUGAGAGGAUGACCAGUCACACUGGGACUGAAAUACGGCCCAGACUCCUACGGGAGGCAGCAGUAGGGAAUUUUGGGCAAUGGGGGAAACCCUGACCCAGCAACGCCGCGUGAGUGAAGAAGGUUUUCGGAUCGUAAAGCUCUGUCAGGUGGGAAGAAUAGAGCCCGGGUAACGCCGGGCCUUGACCACCAUCAAAGGAAGCACCGGCUAACUCC
RNAcentral lists this ribosomal RNA (493 nucleotides) under uncultured bacterium. Its description in RNAcentral is "bacterial SSU rRNA". It matches the Rfam family "Bacterial small subunit ribosomal RNA", at positions 30 to 504 of the family's 1533-position model. The record is from RNAcentral.